AUGUACUUUGUCAACCUGGUGCUUUUUAGAAGGCAGGCUGUGCUUUUUCUCUCUAGAGAUCUUGUAUUUUUUCCCUCCCAGCUGAGACUUCCUCCUCUGCCAGACACCUGUUCCAAGGAAGCUCCUGCAACUAGAGAUCUCCUCAAGCUUUUUCUUCCCUCCCACUUGAUGCUCUCCCUCCUCGGCCAGACACCUGCUGCAGGGAAGCUACCUCAAGCCAGGGUGUGGCUUGAGUCCUGGCUGAGUCUAAGAUUGUCAUGCUCUAGCCCGUCGUGUGUUGCUGUAUGCCGAGAUGGAGGGCAGCAAGGAAGCCACCACGGACACUGCCCCAGGCCACUGCAGCGCAGCCGUUUGCUGUUGGAGGCUGAGUCAGUGUCCGAGUUGCUGUUGGAGCACAUUCUGGUCAAAGAGCCCUAGGAACCCAAGGGGCCUCCUCUCCUUCAGGCUGAAAUACCUGGCUGCUGCUGGGGUGGGGGGACCCCAUGGCAGUGCUCAGUGCUGAGCUGUGGCUACUGGGCACCUCUUCUCAUCUGGCCAUUUUUUUUUCACCUCAUCGUGUCCACAUAAACCUGUGAUCACAUCUUUAUUUCAAAUUCAGCAUGCUUCUCUGGGAAAAUGGCCAGAAACUUGGCAGACUCUCUGGGCUCCGUUUGAGGGGACAGGCACGUCCCUGGCUUGAAUCCCGAAUGGGCGGUUUUCUGAAACCAGGCUGACACCCCCUCCUCUCCUGCUGUGUGUUCAGUUCUCUGAGAGGAAGAGGACGAUGACACUGGUCCAUGCCCAAGACCAGCGCUUAAAACGACAAGCCCAAUGUUUAACACGGUUGUUUCUGGGCCCAAAGGUCUGCCUCUGGAGAAACAGGGCAAGCUGGCCCAUGGAACAUGUCACACUCUUGCAACCGGGGCACCUGAUCAGGCUGGAUGUGCCCAUCAGAUGCUGAAGGCACAGCUGCGUCCCUGCCCUGAG
RNAcentral lists this long non-coding RNA (966 nucleotides) under Sus scrofa (pig). RNAcentral's name for it is "lncRNA (ENSSSCG00050001020.1)". Lineage: Eukaryota; Metazoa; Chordata; Mammalia; Artiodactyla; Suidae. The record is from RNAcentral.